RNAcentral lists this ribosomal RNA (570 nucleotides) under Triticum aestivum (bread wheat). RNAcentral's name for it is "partial small subunit ribosomal RNA". The record is from RNAcentral. Lineage: Eukaryota; Viridiplantae; Streptophyta; Magnoliopsida; Poales; Poaceae.
GGGGGAGGGAACCCCCGGACAGUUCGUGAUCUUGUGAGCCUUGUGCAAGCUCACUCCCCUAGUAUCGUCUUUCUUUGUGAAACUAGGCAGUCUAAGAAUAAAAUGAGUAGGUACCGUGCUCGGUUAGGGUUACGAGGUUUUGAUGCUUCUGAUAGCGUUGGUCUUAGUGGUGGUCUUGCUUUGUAUUGGCAUGAGUUCUUGAGUCUGGAUGUAAAAGAAAUAAACGAGAGAUAUAUUGAUGUGUAUGUUACGAGUGUGGCGGGUGAGCCGCCCUGGAGGCUCACUUGCGUAUAUGGCGAACCGUGGAAGGAGGACCGACACCGCAUGUGGUCCGCCCUCCGUGGUCUCCACCAACAGGCCGACAUGCCAUGGGCCAUGAUUGGUGACUUCAAUGAAGCUAUGUGGAGCUUCGAGCACUUUUCUGCAACGCCACGGUCAGCGGGUCAGAUGAUUGAUUUUCAUGAUGCCCUUGAAACCUGUGGUCUGUACGAUCUUGGUUUUGCAGGGCUACCGUACACAUAUGAUAAUCGUCAUGGCGGCCGGGCCAACGUCAAGGUUCGACUUGAUUGA